RNAcentral lists this ribosomal RNA (425 nucleotides) under uncultured eukaryote. RNAcentral's name for it is "bacterial SSU rRNA". It matches the Rfam family "Eukaryotic small subunit ribosomal RNA", at positions 592 to 1018 of the family's 1831-position model. The record is from RNAcentral.
CAAUAGCGUAUACUAAAGUUGUUGCAGUUAAAAAGCUCGUAGUUGAAGUUCUGGUCUUGGACGGCGGUCUGCUUCAAACGAGGUAUGUACCAUCUGUCCGAGUCCAUCCUCGGGGAAAACAUGUCUGUGAUUUAGUUCAUGGGUAUGGGAUCCUCGUCAUUUACUGUGAGCAAAAUAGAGUGUUUAAAGCAGGCUUAUGCCGUUGAAUAUAUUAGCAUGGAAUAAUAAGAUAGGACUUUGGAACUAUUUUGUUGGUUUGCGUUACAAAGUAAUGAUUAAUAGGGACAGUUGGGGGUAUUCGUAUUUCGUUGUCAGAGGUGAAAUUCUUGGAUUUCCGAAAGACGAACUACUGCGAAAGCAUUUACCAAGGAUGUUUUCAUUAAUCAAGAACGAAAGUUAGGGGAUCGAAGAUGAUUAGAUACCGU